RNAcentral lists this ribosomal RNA (253 nucleotides) under uncultured bacterium. RNAcentral describes it as "partial 16S ribosomal RNA". It matches the Rfam family "Bacterial small subunit ribosomal RNA", at positions 524 to 776 of the family's 1533-position model. The record is from RNAcentral.
UACAGAGGUCUCAAGCGUUGUUCGGAUUCAUUGGGCGUAAAGGGUGCGUAGGUGGCGCUGUAAGUCGGGUGUGAAAUUUCGGAGCUUAACUCCGAAACUGCAUUCGAUACUGCGGUGCUUGAGGACUGGAGAGGAGACUGGAAUUCAUGGUGUAGCAGUGAAAUGCGUAGAGAUCAUGAGGAAGACCAGUGGCGAAGGCGGGUCUCUGGACAGUUCCUGACACUGAGGCACGAAGGCUAGGGGAGCAAACGGG